RNAcentral lists this unclassified non-coding RNA (220 nucleotides) under soil metagenome. Its description in RNAcentral is "partial contains 5.8S ribosomal RNA, internal transcribed spacer 2, and large subunit ribosomal RNA". The record is from RNAcentral.
AACCUAGCACACCUGCGGUGUGUACCUGCGGAAGGAUCAUUAUCGAGUUACCACUCUAUAACCCUUUGUGAACAUACCUACAUGUUGCUUCGGCGGUCGGCCCCCCGGGCCCCCGGCCCCGCUCACGCGGGGCGUCCGCCGGAGGAUAACCAAACUCUGAUUUAACGACGUUUCUUCUGAGUGGCACAAGCAAAUAAUCAAAACUUUCAACAAUGGAUCU